This 363-nucleotide ribosomal RNA is filed under the name uncultured fungus. RNAcentral's name for it is "eukaryotic LSU rRNA". It matches the Rfam family "Eukaryotic large subunit ribosomal RNA", at positions 40 to 398 of the family's 3401-position model. Lineage: Eukaryota; Fungi. The record is from RNAcentral.
AUAUCAAUAAGCGGAGGAAAAGAAACUAACAAGGAUUCCCCUAGUAACGGCGAGUGAAGCGGGAAGAGCUCAAAUUUGUAAUCUGGCUGCUUUGCAGUCCGAGUUGUAAGCUAGAGAAGUGUUAUCUGUGCUGGACCACAUAUGAGUCUGUUGGAAUAUAGUGUCAAAGAGGGUGAGAACCCCGUUCGUGAUGUGGACUACCAGUGCUCUGUGUUACACUCUCAAAGAGUCGAGUUGUUUGGGAAUGCAGCUCAAAUUGGGUGGUAAAUUCCAUCUAAAGCUAAAUAUUGGCGGGAGACCGAUAGCGAACAAGUACCGUGAGGGAAAGAUGAAAAGCACUUUGGAAAGAGAGUCAAAUAGUAC